AUUGAACGCUGGCGGCAGGCCUAACACAUGCAAGUCGAACGGUAGCACAGAGAGCUUGCUCUCGGGUGACGAGUGGCGGACGGGUGAGUAACGUCUGGGAAACUGCCCGAUGGAGGGGGAUAACUACUGGAAACGGUAGCUAAUACCGCAUAACGUCGCAAGACCAAAGUGGGGGACCUUCGGGCCUCACACCAUCGGAUGUGCCCAGAUGGGAUUAGCUAGUAGGUGGGGUAAUGGCUCACCUAGGCGACGAUCCCUAGCUGGUCUGAGGGGAGGACCAGCGACACUGGAACGGAGGCACGGUCCAGACUCCUACGGGAGGCAGCAGUGGGGGAUAUUGCACAAUGGGCGCAAGCCUGAUGCAGCCAUGCCGCGUGUAUGAAGAAGGCCUUCGGGUUGUAAAGUACUUUCAGCGGGGAGGAAGGCAGUGAAGUUAAUAACUUCACCGAUUGACGUUACCCGCAGAAGAAGCACCGGCUAACUCCGUGCCAGCAGCCGCAGUAA
Molecule: ribosomal RNA, 504 nt
Filed under: uncultured bacterium
Lineage: Bacteria
Description: partial 16S ribosomal RNA
Rfam family: Bacterial small subunit ribosomal RNA
Source: RNAcentral